RNAcentral lists this ribosomal RNA (253 nucleotides) under uncultured bacterium. RNAcentral describes it as "partial 16S ribosomal RNA". It matches the Rfam family "Bacterial small subunit ribosomal RNA", at positions 524 to 776 of the family's 1533-position model. The record is from RNAcentral.
UACAGAGGGUGCGAGCGUUAAUCGGAAUUACUGGGCGUAAAGCGCGCGUAGGCGGCUUUUCAAGUCGAUUGUGAAAUCCCCGGGCUUAACCUGGGAACUGCAGUCGAGACUGUCUAGCUAGAGUAUGGGAGAGGGAAGUGGAAUUUCAGGUGUAGCGGUGAAAUGCGUAGAUAUCUGAAGGAACAUCAGUGGCGAAAGCGACUUCCUGGACCAAUACUGACGCUCAUGUGCGAAAGCUAGGGUAGCAAACGGG